CUUUGAUUUGCCUUUGUUCUGACAGUAGCAAACAGCUGCUUGUAAAUGAGCCACAGUCCCUGGGCUGCCUCCCAUUAUUCCACACUUUUGUUUGACAAGGUCACUUGCUGUGGGGAUUUUGGGGAGAUAGAGUGUGCAGCCUAUAGAAUUAGAGUUAAACCACAGGCAACCCAGCUUGAAUGCUCUUAUUUUUUUUUUUCAUAGUGCCAGCAAAGCAAGAAUAACAAAGAGAAAAUCUUUUGCUCUGUGAGCAAGUCAAACUUUUCUUUUUCCCAGUGUUGAUUUCAUAAUCCUAAAACUAUCUUAUAAAAAGCAAGUCAUGUUUCCAUAAAUCCCCUUUCAUUCAAAUCUUAACAGAAUUUAUAUAAAAGAUGUAUUUAAUUACAAAACAGGAUUAACAAAAACAGAUUAAUAUUUUUUUUUUAUCUAUCGCUACAAUUCAUUAUGAGACAACACAAAGCUAUACAGCUAACAGCAACUCUGACAAAUGCUGAAGAAAUGCUAAGAAACAAUCUGAAAGAUUUAUGCCAGUUUCCACAGGAAAUUGAUUUAUUUUUGAUAGGAACCGAGACAGACCAGUCUUCCAGAAAGACAAGCGUCUCAUAAACAAAUUAUGGCUAUGAUAGCUGCCCAUUUAAGGACUAGGAGACAUUUCUUUGACUUGGAAGUUUUAUAGUGGUGAAUUAAACUGUAAAAUCAGUAUACAAUGACAUUAAGAUACUAUCUAGUGCUAUCAAAUCAUCCUGAAACAUUCAUUUUCCAUUUUGACCUGUGAUCUUAAAGACAGUGAAAGCUGUCAUUUAGGAUAGCCUGUUUCUUUGUGACAAUUGUUGCUUUUGAAGCCAUGCAAAAACAAGGAAUAGGUGGCAAAUACUCAAAGGAAUGGCUGGUACUAUGGGAGGAGACAGCCAGUAGCAGUUUUCAACCACAAAUGAAUCACUGCAGAGUGCUUACAAAAUUUGCAAGUGAAGAAAGAAGAGGUUCUAACUUUAGAAAUGUUUUUCAGACUCUUCAAGAAGGGUCACUGAAAACAAUGAAUGGAAAUCAGUCCAAAAACCCUCCACAGAAGCCAAUUGUGCUAUGCCAAAGGGACAGUCGCAAUUGUUCAGAUUUUUAUCUCAUCAGCUCAAAAAGUAGCUCAGCUCUUCCUGCUCUUAAUUGUUUGUUUCCUAGUUUUUUGUUAAGCCACUGGAAGAAAUAAUGUUUUAAUCACAAAGGCAUCCACAUUAAAAGAAAAAGGUAUAGACAUUACUGUAAUCUUUGUUUUAACUUCCAAGGCAUGCAGUGUUCUUAAAAGAAAAGCAAAGACUACUGUUAGGUACAUAAGUUUACACAUCUUCCCUGGACAGACUAGAAACUGGCUGAACUUAAAAGAUUACAUUUAUAACCUCAGGAUAGGUGGUUUUCUAGUCUCUACCCUCUUUCAGCUGCUUCAGCUUAAAUCUCACUCUUCACCACAAAUCCUUCAAUAGCCACCUAUGUGCAGACAAGUCUUUCCAAGUUUCUAUUGGAAGGAGCUCCUCAUUGUCAAAUAGCAGUUACGAACUGCAUAGUACGUGACAUAUCUGAAAUAUCUAACAGAAUUACACUUGAAUUAUCAAUUGCUAACAAGCAGUUAACAACAACAAAGUUUAAUGAUAAUUCAUGAUGACAACACCCACUUCUCAAUAAAGCACACUGGAAACAUUCUGGUAGUCGACUGCUGGAGUGCAGGACAGGAGGUUGUUAGCCUCAUUUGUAUUCAAAGGCAGGCAAAUCACUAAAACUCAUUUACAUCCUUCCAUCUUUCUUAGUGCAUGUCAACAGCAGGUGGUCUAUCGAUACUACCUUUGAAAUAAGUAGGUGGUUUAAAUUGCCUUCAAAUUUCAGUAAAAACCCUGAAUUAUAGAAUAGACCUUGAGUCUUAACUUUUCUGUUUUCUUUGUGUGGGCUGUAAUAGAACAUGGGUAAGUACAGCACUUCCUCUGUUCAUAUAUCAAUCUACAUUAAAAGAUAAGUUUUAUACUUAAACCUAGUCGACUUAACUUUGAAUGUUAGCAACGACUUGCAGACAUGACCACCUCAGCAAAGUGAAUUACAGAAAUUUCCAAAGGUAUGAGUAAAGCAAAAGAAAGGACUUCUGUGGAUGAUUUUUUUUUCUAAAUGUAUGCAGUUUUAGGAUAAGCAGAUGAAGACCGGCCCUUGAAACCUCUGAUGCACACGUUUAAGUUUUCCUGCUGCUAGACCAUUGGAAACUACUACUUUGAAUAGAUUACUUUCAGUACACACUUCCAGGGACAUAUGUCUCCUAUUUUUCUUUGUGGCACUGUGACUAUUCCUAAAAGACAGUUUAAAAACACAAAUGUCUGUUGUCAAUCAGGACCAAUUUCUGAUGAAGUGAGAAGAAACACCGCCUGAGACAGGAAUCAAGGACAUCUUCAUUCCCAAAAGAAUACACAGCCAGCAGUAAGCAACAUCACAAAUGUGUUUAUACAAAACCAGAAUAGAUUAAAGUAACUAAAACCAGCAUUUGGUUGUUUUUCCUCUGUGAUGUUCGCUUUCACAUUCUGACAACUCCCUCAGAAUUUCUGUGAAAUUCAGUGUCCAUCAAAAUUAAUACUUUGAUGUCUGGCUUCAAACUUCUAUAAAGAAUGCUGUCUUUUGAAAACAAACACAGAGGUCAGUAAUAACUCCCCAGACUGUGCAGAUUAUAGUAAAUUAGCUCCCACAUUUUAGAGAAUGGGCACAGAAAGCAUGAUAGAAUGUCCCAGUAUCCCUGAAAGAAAAAGCUGGGGUCAGUCCCCACAAAUCCAUUGCAAUAUGAGAGCGCCUGUUUACUACUGCAUCCAUCCUCAUUUAACUGUUAGAAAAAUUGAACAUGCACAAUUCAUUUACAGACUUAAAAAACAUUUGAUAGCUUGUAAAUAUACAUUUUUGGUUGUACAGCGGGGAUUUUUCGAUGCAAAAAGAGGUCGGCAUGCUGAAGAUGCCCCCCACGGUAUGAAACAUAAGGGAGCACAUACUUUACACGGAGUUAAAAGAUUGUUUAAAGACCAGGACAGUCAUUAAGCUGUAUUUACUGUCUAGACAGGAAUAGCUCCACCUAACCAUUCCCAAAGGUUGUUAGCAUUUCUAAAAAUUAAGCAGCAGCAGGAAAAGGUUAAGAUCAACUUACUAAUUAAGUUACACUCACAGAAAUCUGGAGAGGGGAAGGGAAUGCAAGUCUGAAUGACAUCCCUGGGUUUGAGUAUCAGUCCUCAAAUACAGGUCUUCCUGCACGAAGGGAAGCCAUAGGUCUGUGUGCAAGUUUGAUCCCCAGUCACAGGACUGCACAAAAACCCUACGAGCUUGAGACAGACAAAAGAAACCCCUUGGAGUUUAUCUAAAUUACUGGUAGGCACAAGCACUGUUUUUAAUUUUAUUUCUGUGCUGUGAAACUGCUGUCUGCCUUGAAGCACGGUAAAUGCAUUCUCUGAUCCUUUUUCCCUUUUGGUCUUAAAAGGUGGAUUCAAGAUAACUGCCAAACAAUGAAGCAUGCUCCACUCCUAAAUUAUGAUGUUAAUUUUAGGAUAAAGGCAGAGAUUUAGUUAACUUUCAUGGUGCUUAGCAAGUCCCAACGGUACUUGAUGGUAAAACAGAACUCCUCCACUACGCUCCACUGGCAGUAAAUGAGAUAAAAGAUCUCGCCUGGUGACAAGCGUUCCUCAUACAUUCCUUUGCAAGUGGUGAGACAAGAUUUUCCCAUAUAUCCCUCAGACUCCCAGAAUGGAGAGAAGCUCUUCUGCACUACAGGUUCGUGCGUAAAUCUUAAAGAAAGCUCAGAGAGGUCCUUGGUUUCAAUUGCCACACAGUGCUCCUACAUAUGAUACGAAAUACCAUUCGUGGUUUUUUACAUACUGGGAAUGAAGGUAGCCUGUUGAUGCAAUAAUAAUUGAAUCCCAAGCCUGCAUGAGCAAAGAAUGCCAUCCACGCCUUUGGAUGUGGAUGGAUGUUUAAUCCCUUUGCAGUGGAUUAAACUGCAUUUAUAAAUCUAAGUGUUUUGAAUCACUUAAAUUUAAAUUGUUGUUUAAUUCAAAGUUCAAUAAUUUAAAUCAUCAGAAAGAACCAGUAUUUAGAUAAUCAAUUUAUUCUUAUUUAAAUCUAUUUGUAUUAUUAAAGAAAAUGAAACUUGGUGAUCGAUACACAAACAUAUUGAUAAGAAUCGACUUAGACUGAAUUUGCACUUCCAUUUGCCACUUUCUAUAUAUAUCAGUGAUGCUUUAGUUGAGGUUUUUAUAUUCUUCCUCUUUUGUUAUACUAGAAAGGGAAAGUGAAUCUUUUUCUCUUAAUUAAAUGAACAUCAAAUUCUUACUCUUAGUUGUACGUUGAACCUACAUGGGAGAAAAAAAUACUAAUAUUCAACCAAGUAUGCACCUCCUCAGACGCUGUGUAUUACUGACAUUUAAAUUAAACUAUUUGCCUAGCUUGUUUAUAUUACAUAUGGAUAUAUUUAAAAAGCACAUCAUUUUCUGGAAUGAAAUACCAAAUUGUUUGGUUUUGGCAACCAAGCCAUCUAAAAUGUUAAAACCACUUUAAUCUCAUCCUUUUAUAUCCAGAAAUUUACUUAAAGAUCAGAAGGAAAGAAAACUAAAUAUUUCCUGCUUUCAUGUUUCUAGGUAAUUUUAACUCUUUACAAAUUUGUCUCGUAAGUCAAAAAAAAUAAAUGAAUAAAUGUAAAUGAAAUCACAAACUAUUUCUGCAGAAGACAGCACUUAUGCCUAAAGCUAGUUUAGCAUCUCCCAAACUUUUGUUCCAGAUCAAUGAUUUCACCACUCCUGUUUCUUAGAUGCAAACUGGUAGAGCUUUAAUGUUAUGUGUGCAAACCAAAAAGUCCCUGUAAGGGAACCAUGGUAUCCGGAAGCAGCACUGUGGUGUGCCUGGCCGCCCCUCCCUAGAUUCUUCCCCCACACACUUUGGUUGUCUUCCUUCCUUCCCAUCCACAGGGGAACUAAUAAACCCAGCUCUGACUCCUAACAUCACUACCUCACUACUGCUAAGCAGACACUAAUGACAUUUUUUCCCUUCUUUCUCCUGUUUCCCUGUGGGAAAGAUUCAUAAUGAUCUUUGCAUAUGGUACUGCCACUCUAAGUGGGGAGAAAUAAUAAACUCUGCAAUUCCACCUCUUCUCUGCCCAUCUCUCUGGGAGGGUAGAUUAAUGGUGAGCCUACAUCUUCUCUCCACCUCCCUCAGAUAAAAGGUUAAUAAACCACUCAGCAUUUGCUUUUCAUGGAAAUGAUAUGUGGGGAUUAAUUAGCAUUUCCUAGGUAACACAUUAAUACCAUUGUGAGUUCUCAAUACCAGGUUGUUUCAGAGACCUAUUAUAAAAUUUUAACCCAAAGGCAGUUGAGGAUUCUUUCAUUUUAGGGCUGAACAAAUAAAUUUUGGCUAUGACUACAGAUCUAACUUGGCCUAGAAUUCAACACAUACAGGGUACUGUCAUUUGAUCAGAAGCAUGACCAGGAGAUAAGUGGCCUAGUUAGAAGCGUUCACUUUUGCGAUCACUGGCAACAGGCCUGUAUGCUUUAAGACAAUUUAUCUUUGAUCAUGGUUGGAGGAUACCUACCUACAUCAGCAUCAGGAUAUUCUACAGCUGCAUCUUGCAUAGUUUCUUGUACCCUCCAUAAGCAAAUUAGGUUCAACUGUUAGCAAAGUGUUGGACCACUAUGCUGGGCCUUAAUGGCCCUGUAGUUGGCUACACUGUAAUAAUACAACAAAACAGAAAUGUUGUUCAUUAGACAGGAAUCCAAGUGUUUUAUUUGUCCCUGUGCAAGUUACGGUGCAGUGACGGCUCAGAAGCCGGGGCUCACCCUCUUCCCCUAUCGGCCCUGUUACUGCCCUGACCCUAGAGAUUCCUCUCUGCAUAUUUGUGCUGUUUCAACAGGAGGGGCAGAGCCCCUUCAGCCUGGAGCUUAGGGUGGUCUCAGAAGGGAUGGAUGUUCAUUUCUGUCAAGUGUAGAGGACACUCCAAGUUUUCAGUUCCUUGCACCUGCAGUGAGGUAUUUUUGUGCAAAGGUGGGAGAUGGCACCAGCAGCAAGGACAGAACCACCCCUGAUACAUUCGUCUUUGAAAGAGGGCAACUGCAGGAACAAAUGUGGAAGGAGGUGCCUGAAGUAGUCCUAAGUGCUCACUCCAAGUCAGAAAACAGAAAAAAAAUAUUUUUUUUCAUUUCCCCUGUUUAUUACUAAACAGGAAACCCCGUUUCUUACUGGCCAGCAGUAGGCAAUUCUGGGUCAGACCCCAAGAAGCUUCAGAUCCAAUUCAAGGAUAACACAAAGGUGAAAGGAGAAUAACAAUGGCAAGGGACCAACCACCUAACAUUAAGAAGAAAAAUGGAUGUCUAAACUUCAGUUUCCAUACCAACAUUGCAAAUGUCAAAAAGCCUUUCCAGAAUUAGCUAGGACUUACUCAUUAAAACUGUUAUUUUUUAAAAAAGACAAAGAUAGCUAUAUACAUACAUAUGCUAUAGAAAAGAAGGCAAAACUAAAAAAUAUGCUGAAAAAAAAAAACAUUCUGUAAUUUCAUGUUUGUCUGACUUGAUUAUAUUUCCAAGAAGGCAUCAUGUGGUUUUAGAGCAAGACAUGUGCCAAAUUAAUAAGAGUCCAAGACUCAAAACAGAAGCACAAGUAAGUACUACAAAAUCAAAAAUCCCCAAACUAUAAGCAGUCUCUACUGUCUGAAACUGCAAAUGCUUUGGAAGAAAAUAUUACUUAACUGAAACACAAACAUGUAUAAAAAAAGUAUUCUUCUUCAUCUGGUAUUCAUGCGAAACUUUUGCUCGAGUCUCCAAGCAGCAGUCCACAAUUUUAUUUUAUUUUUUAUCUUCCAGCACAAGAAACAAAAGGGGUGCCACUGGGGAUAGGAGGAAGAAAAUCUUGAAGAGCUGGCUCAGAGUAACUAAAUACUUCAAAUCUAAAUUUUAGUUACUUCAACAUGUUUGGAAGCGAUGCAGCUUGGCAGAGAGCCAUCCUCAUCCCAACAAGUGUACCUCACCAGCUGGCAUGACACAGACAAGAGCCCCCAACACCUCAGGAGGGAACAGCAAGGAACAGACCGGGUGAAUUAAUGUGGCACUCCAGGUUGCAUGCCUGGGCAAAACUGUUUGUUCUUCAGCUCUGAUUUCAAAAUCAGUCAGCAUUUAUAUUUUAUUGUUUUACAGUUUGGCAAGAUCAAGCACAGAUCAGCUUAUAAAAUACUAUAUUGCUUUUCUUCAAGGUUCAGGGAGGGUAAGGAAGCAUAGUAACGUUAAGUAGUUACACAGCUUGGCAGUUCUGGGCACACUCACGUUUUAUGCAAUAUUAUACUCUGGCAGCUGUUGAAGUUACUAUGUAAACCAAGACAAAUAAAAUUGUGUAGCCAACAUCAAAGUAAACCUUGUGUGCAUUUGCAAGACAAGGCGGGGCCUGCUGAAAUGCCACAUAUGGGCUACACUGGGAAGAGGGGGACAGGGAAGGAUGUCUGCAUGCCACGCACUCUGUGGGGACACAGCAGGCCCAUGGGGCAAGGGUUGGUGGAGAACAACGGGUGCAAAUGCAUCAACCAUGCUGCAGAACUGAUCAGGGUUCAGGCCACAGACCACAUUUCUGCAGGUACGGGCAAAAUAAAGUUGGAAACAAGGCCCAAAGAAAUCUACAAUCUACUGAAGAAAAGGGGGAAAAAAAAAAGACACAUGAACUAAAGAAUUCUCUCUUAUCCUGACUGGCCACUAAAUCAACAUUGACUUGAAUGCCUUGAUACUUGUGGAAGAUUAAGAAUUGCC
Molecule: non-coding RNA, 7775 nt
Organism: Anas platyrhynchos (mallard)
Lineage: Eukaryota; Metazoa; Chordata; Aves; Anseriformes; Anatidae
Source: RefSeq, a predicted model, not a curated record